This 253-nucleotide ribosomal RNA is filed under the name uncultured bacterium. RNAcentral describes it as "partial 16S ribosomal RNA". It matches the Rfam family "Bacterial small subunit ribosomal RNA", at positions 524 to 776 of the family's 1533-position model. The record is from RNAcentral.
UACGUAGGGGGCAAGCGUUGUCCGGAUUUAUUGGGCGUAAAGAGCGUGUAGGCGGCUAGAUAGGUCCGUUGUGAAAACUCGAGGCUCAACCUCGAGACGCCGAUGGAAACCAUCCAGCUAGAGUCCGGAAGAGGAGAGUGGAAUUCCUGGUGUAGCGGUGAAAUGUGCAGAUAUCAGGAAGAACACCCGUGGCUAAGGCGGCUCUCUAGUACGGUACUGACGCUGAGACGCGAAAGCGUGGGGAGCGAACAGG